GUGUCCUUGGUGUAACGGUAACACGCAAUCUAUGAAGUUUUUGGAUUGGUCCGGGGUUCGACUCCCCGAGGACGCC
Mycena leptocephala is the source of this 76-nucleotide non-coding RNA. Lineage: Eukaryota; Fungi; Basidiomycota; Agaricomycetes; Agaricales; Mycenaceae. The record is from the annotation of a GenBank genome assembly.